GGGGACCAUCCUCCAAGGCUAAAUACUCCUGACUGACCGAUAGUGAACCAGUACCGUGAGGGAAAGGCGAAAAGAACCCCGGCGAGGGGAGUGAAAAAGAACCUGAAACCGUGUACGUACAAGCAGUGGGAGCCUCUUAAUGGGGUGACUGCGUACCUUUUGUAUAAUGGGUCAGCGACUUAUAUUCUGUAGCAAGGUUAACCGAAUAGGGGAGCCGAAGGGAAACCGAGUCUUAACUGGGCGUUAAGUUGCAGGGUAUAGACCCGAAACCCGGUGAUCUAGCCAUGGGCAGGUUGAAGGUUGGGUAACACUAACUGGAGGACCGAACCGACUAAUGUUGAAAAAUUAGCGGAUGACUUGUGGCUGGGGGUGAAAGGCCAAUCAAACCGGGAGAUAGCUGGUUCUCCCCGAAAGCUAUUUAGGUAGCGCCUCGUGAAUUCAUCUCCGGGGGUAGAGCACUGUUUCGGCAAGGGGGUCAUCCCGACUUACCAACCCGAUGCAAACUGCGAAUACCGGAGAAUGUUAUCACGGGAGACACACGGCGGGUGCUAACGUCCGUCGUGAAGAGGGAAACAACCCAGACCGCCAGCUAAGGUCCCAAAGUCAUGGUUAAGUGGGAAACGAUGUGGGAAGGCCCAGACAGCCAGGAUGUUGGCUUAGAAGCAGCCAUCAUUUAAAGAAAGCGUAAUAGCUCACUGGUCGAGUCGGCCUGCGCGGAAGAUGUAACGGGGCUAAACCAUGCACCGAAGCUGCGGCAGCGACACUAUGUGUUGUUGGGUAGGGGAGCGUUCUGUAAGCCUGUGAAGGUGGCCUGUGAGGGUUGCUGGAGGUAUCAGAAGUGCGAAUGCUGACAUAAGUAACGAUAAAGCGGGUGAAAAGCCCGCUCGCCGGAAGACCAAGGGUUCCUGUCCAACGUUAAUCGGGGCAGGGUGAGUCGACCCCUAAGGCGAGGCCGAAAGGCGUAGUCGAUGGGAAACAGGUUAAUAUUCCUGUACUUGGUGUUACUGCGAAGGGGGGACGGAGAAGGCUAUGUUGGCCGGGCGACGGUUGUCCCGGUUUAAGCGUGUAGGCUGGUUUUCCAGGCAAAUCCGGAAAACCAAGGCUGAGGCGUGAUGA
This 1116-nucleotide ribosomal RNA is filed under the name Escherichia coli. Its description in RNAcentral is "partial 23S ribosomal RNA". It matches the Rfam family "Bacterial large subunit ribosomal RNA", at positions 448 to 1569 of the family's 2925-position model. Lineage: Bacteria; Pseudomonadati; Pseudomonadota; Gammaproteobacteria; Enterobacterales; Enterobacteriaceae. The record is from RNAcentral.